This 295-nucleotide small nuclear RNA is filed under the name Castor canadensis (American beaver). Its description in RNAcentral is "7SK RNA (ENSCCNG00000014245.1)". It matches the Rfam family "7SK RNA". From Rfam's summary of the family: 7SK was discovered as an abundant small nuclear RNA in the mid-70s but a possible function has only recently been suggested. Two independent studies have found that 7SK RNA binds the CDK9/cyclin T complex (known as elongation factor P-TEFb). Lineage: Eukaryota; Metazoa; Chordata; Mammalia; Rodentia; Castoridae. The record is from Rfam by way of RNAcentral.
AAAAGCAGCCCUUGUGACAUCUGUCACCCCAUUGAUCGCCAGGGUUGAUUCGGCUAAUCUGGCUGGCUAGGCGGGUGUCCCCUUCCUCCCUCACCGCUCCAUGUGCGUCCCUCCCGAAGCUGCGCGCUCGGUCGAAGAGGACGACCAUCCCCGAUAGAGGAGGACCGUUCUUCGGUCAAGGGUAUACGAGUAGCUGCGCUCCCCUGCUAGAACCUCCAAACAAGCUCUCAAAAGCAGCCCUAACCAUUGGCUAAGACAGUAUCCAUGAUGUACGUCCACAAUUUAAUAAAAUUGU